GUUUAUUCAUUAGUUAUUGAGGUUUAAAUUUGUUAUAGGAAUUACUAGGAUUUAGUUUAGGAUUUGGUUGGAGUUUGGUUUAGGGUUUAGGAUUUGGAUUAGGAUUUGAUUUAGGGUUUAGGAUUUGAUUAGGAUUUGAUUUAGGAUUUAGUAUUUGUAUUAGGGUUUGAUUUAGGAUUUGGUUUAGGAUUUGGUUUAGGAUUUGAUUGGAGUUUGGUUUAAGGUUGUUUAGGGUUUGAUUUAGGGUUUGGUUUAGGAUUUGGUUAGGAUUUAGGAUUAUGGAUUAGGAUUUGGUUAGGAUUUAGGAUUUGGUUUAGGAUUUUGUUAGGAUUUAGGAUUAUGGAUUAGGAUUUGGUUAGGAUUUAGGAUUUGGUUUAGGAUUUAGGAUUUGUUUUAGGAUUCGGUUUAGGAUUUAGAGUUUGGUUUAGGAUUUGAUUAGAGAUUGGUUUAAGGUUUAGGAUUUGAUUAAGGUUUGAUUAGGAUUUGGUUGGCAUUUAAUUUAAGGUUUAUUUAGGGUUUGAUUUAGGGUUUAGGAUUUUAUUAGGAUUUAAGAUUCAAUUAGUUUUGGCCUAAAGUUUGAAUGAAGUUCAAUAGGAUUUUAACUAAAAUUAAAUUAAGAUUGAAUUGAGAUGCAUUUGAAUGAUAUUUGUGAUCCUUUUAAUAUUUCUUUAAGAAUUCCUAUUGUUUGUUUGAAAUUUCUUUGAGGUUUUUUUUAAUUUGAUUAAGCUUGUUUAGCAUUAUUAUGGUCUAAUUAGAGCAUUGUUAGUAUU
This 770-nucleotide long non-coding RNA is filed under the name Physcomitrium patens. Its description in RNAcentral is "long non-coding RNA (PPAT_LNC007781)". The record is from RNAcentral. Lineage: Eukaryota; Viridiplantae; Streptophyta; Bryopsida; Funariales; Funariaceae.